CUGGCGUCUGCUCCGAGACGGUGGGGAGCGCAGGUGAGAGGUAAUUCGCAGCCGCCCCGGGGAGGAGAAGCCGUGCUCGAGCUGUCUGGGGCUUCAUUAAAUAUCAGAAAGAGAAAUGAACCAAUUUCGCGGCCCCGGUCUGUGCCUUCUCCCAGGAUGUGAAGUCAAAGGCUAUGCGACCCAAGGCCAGUAGCAAUCCGAUUAAUUCCCCUGGAUAAAGCCUUUAAUCUAACACAUAACAGCAAAUUCUUGUUUUUCCAUUAAAAACAAUACCUCGGCCCCCACGUUGGCUGCCAGGGCCUUAAUGAGAUCCCCUUUCCCACCCGGGAGGCUGAAUUGGACCUUUGUUUCUCGCAGCAUGGGGUUCGGAAGAUUGCUAGUUUGGCGAGAUCCCUGAGUUCACAGCAUGCCCUCCAGAAGGACCCAAGGAAUGGCCUCAUGGCCCCAACUGACUUCUGCAGCCAAGCGAGGAAAGCCAAAGAGACCAAACCAGGACCCUGGCAACUUCUGUGGCAGGAAGCCCACAGACCCCAGCAUGAAUAGGCUCUGGGAUGGCGCCAACCAGAAACAUCUUGGAAGCAGCUUAGUGGAUGUUGUGGCGAAACCUGGAAGGAACACCAUCGUCUCUGGCCGGGCCCUCCCUGAGAACGCGGCCACAACAAGUAGUUAUCCCCUUUGCUUUUUGUCUUUUUCUUUUCUAAACAAACUUAUUAAAGAUUACUUAACUGCAAAGUGAAACCAUCC
RNAcentral lists this long non-coding RNA (744 nucleotides) under Vulpes vulpes (red fox). RNAcentral's name for it is "lncRNA (ENSVVUG00000028612.1)". The record is from RNAcentral. Lineage: Eukaryota; Metazoa; Chordata; Mammalia; Carnivora; Canidae.